Molecule: long non-coding RNA, 1490 nt
Organism: Acanthopagrus latus (yellowfin seabream)
Lineage: Eukaryota; Metazoa; Chordata; Actinopteri; Spariformes; Sparidae
Exons: 8
Source: RefSeq, a predicted model, not a curated record
UGUCCUCAAGUGACGCCUUAAAACUUCUCACCAACUCGCUUAAAAUCUCUUCAUAAAGUUCCAACAUUGUGAAAACGUCUCUCUCUUGUCCUGUGGUCGAAUCUCACAGCGCUGCCGCCCGGUUGGUCCGUGUCCAUAAGCUUUCAGAAAAGAGUAUCUAGCGUUAGGCAUGAAUGAGCCUUUAUAUCUACCUGGUACGAUUCCCUGUGAAAUCACGUUUGCUGCAUGCAGACGAGAGGAGCCUGUAUGUGCUGUAGCUGUCUUAACAGGAAGGUUUUAUUUUCAACGUUACAUUUUGAAGCAAAGGCUCGAAGAGACACUGAGCAUGAAUCAAAACACGAGACAACUCAGUCCGUCAUCAACAGAUGGAGAGCAAAGCUCCUCUUGGAUCGGUCGUCUCCCUGCUGGACAGCGCUGAUGGCAGAAAUGAGAAAAUGCUGCAGUCAGAAACAACAGCCGCUCCCCGGCAGCGAUGCUAUCACCGCAGGCAGCAUCAGAGAGCUCCCCAGAUUCCCCAAAGUGAUCAGCGAUUCCCAGAGACCAAGAUGACGUCCUCAGAUGUCUUGUUCUCAAUUCAGUUUACUGUCAUGGAGGAGUAAAGAAACCAGGAAAUCAGAGGAUAUUUCAGAUUCAUUCAUAGAUGCAGCGAAGAGAGGGGUGAGAUGACAAGGAUGCAUGAGGAGUGUGGGAGUGAGAAGAAGAAGAGGAAGAAGAAGAAGAAGAAGAAGAAGAACACGCCCCAGUUACUCUCCAUUAACGCUGCUGUCGAAGCUGCCGCCGCCGCCGCCACUGCUGCUCCAAAGUUAAAUCACCCUGCAGCUUCCACAUCCCAUGAGUCCUGCGAGGGGAACCAUUUUAGACGUGCUGUGGAGGAACUGGUGUUAAAAUGGAGCGCCCAUCGGACCGUGACCGCGGCUCUCCUGGAAAUGGAUGGACGGGCUGACAGGAUGACGGGGUGGUGGGAUGAUGUAAAGAUGUGUGGAGACAGAAGGAGAGAAGCACUAACAGGGAUACUGAGAUUGCAUUUGUUUUGCGGGCCAAAUGAAACAUCAGCUUUAUAGAAGAUAAGGAGAAAGAGAGAGAGAUGGAUUUUCUGAGGCGGCUUCAUCACUCAGUGUUGUCUCUCAUUUCCCUUGAAGUUGAAGUGUCCUUGGACAAGAUACUGAACCCAAAACUGUUCCUGAUGUGCUGGUCAGCACCUUGCAUGGCAGCCGCCGCCAUCAGUGUUGUACCGCUGCUUUGCAUGAGAACGGUUUCAGGACUCAGAAUUCUUGAUGAUUCUUGAUUCGCCUCACCAGAGCACUUGGACAUGCAACGUUGGUUUGAUGUCUUGGUGUCUGCAAAAACCCUUCCUGGAUAAUCUUGUGCAUCGGCGUGACCUCCUCCUCCUCCUCCUCCUCCUCCUCCUCCUCCUCCUCCUUCUCCUCCAUGUCUGUUGGAAGUCCAUCUGCAGUCACAUCAAACAUCAUGAUUUCAGUAUUAUAUUAAAU